UGACCUCAAAUCAGGUAGGACUACCCGCUGAACUUAAGCAUA
Molecule: ribosomal RNA, 42 nt
Filed under: Schizophyllum commune
Lineage: Eukaryota; Fungi; Basidiomycota; Agaricomycetes; Agaricales; Schizophyllaceae
Also listed under: 8 other names
Description: partial 28S ribosomal RNA
Source: RNAcentral